Molecule: ribosomal RNA, 253 nt
Filed under: uncultured bacterium
Lineage: Bacteria
Description: partial 16S ribosomal RNA
Rfam family: Bacterial small subunit ribosomal RNA
Source: RNAcentral
UACAGAGGGUGCAAGCGUUGUUCGGAAUUACUGGGCGUAAAGCGCGCGCAGGCGGUCCUUUAAGUCUGAUGUGAAAGCCCACGGCUCAACCGUGGAGGGUCAUUGGAAACUGGGGGACUUGAGUGCAGAAGAGGAAAGUGGAAUUCCAAGUGUAGCGGUGAAAUGCGUAGAGAUUUGGAGGAACACCAGUGGCGAAGGCGACUUUCUGGUCUGUAACUGACGCUGAGGCGCGAAAGCGUGGGGAGCAAACAGG